Molecule: ribosomal RNA, 483 nt
Filed under: uncultured bacterium
Lineage: Bacteria
Description: partial 16S ribosomal RNA
Rfam family: Bacterial small subunit ribosomal RNA
Source: RNAcentral
AUUGAACGCUGGCGGCAGGCCUAACACAUGCAAGUCGAGCGGAUGAAGGGAGCUUGCUCCUGGAUUCAGCGGCGGACGGGUGAGUAAUGCCUAGGAAUCUGCCUGGUAGUGGGGAUAACGUCCGGAAACGGGCGCUAAUACCGCAUACGUCCUGAGGGAGAAAGUGGGGGAUCUUCGGACCUCACGCUAUCAGAUGAGCCUAGGUCGGAUUAGCUAGUUGGUGGGGUAAAGGCCUACCAAGGCGACGAUCCGUAACUGGUCUGAGAGGAUGGUCAGUCACACUGGAACUGAGACACGGUCCAGACUCCUACGGGAGGCAGCAGUGGGGAAUAUUGGACAAUGGGCGAAAGCCUGAUCCAGCCAUGCCGCGUGUGUGAAGAAGGUCUUCGGAUUGUAAAGCACUUUAAGUUGGGAGGAAGGGCAGUAAGUUAAUACCUUGCUGUUUUGACGUUACCAACAGAAUAAGCACCGGCUAACUUCGUG